UUAAAUGAAUUGACGGGGCCGCACAAGCGGUGGAGCAUGUGGUUAAUUCGACGCAACGCGAAGAACCUUACCAGGGCUUGACAUCCCCUGACCGCGUAUGGAAAGUACGGUUUUCACCCUCGGGUGACAGGGAGACAGGUGGUGCAUGGUUGUCGUCAGCUCGUGUCGUGAGAUGUUGGGUUAAGUCCCGCAACGAGCGCAACCCCUACGUUUAGUUGCUAACGCGUGAAGGCGAGCACUCUAGACGAACUGCCGUUGACAAAACGGAGGAAGGUGGGAUGACGUCAAAUCAUCAUGCCCCUUAUGUUCUGGGCUACACACGUGCUACAAUGGCCGGUACAGACGGACGCAAAGCCGCGAGGUGGAGCAAAUCCUAAAAAGCCGGUCUCAGUUCGGAUUGCAGGCUGCAAUUCGCCUGCAUGAAGUCGGAAUCGCUAGUAAUCGCAGGUCAGCAUACUGCGGUGAAUACGUUCCCGGGCCUU
This 482-nucleotide ribosomal RNA is filed under the name uncultured Pelotomaculum sp. Its description in RNAcentral is "bacterial SSU rRNA". It matches the Rfam family "Bacterial small subunit ribosomal RNA", at positions 901 to 1382 of the family's 1533-position model. Lineage: Bacteria; Bacillati; Bacillota; Clostridia; Eubacteriales; Desulfotomaculaceae. The record is from RNAcentral.